RNAcentral lists this ribosomal RNA (465 nucleotides) under uncultured marine group I thaumarchaeote. RNAcentral describes it as "bacterial SSU rRNA". It matches the Rfam family "Archaeal small subunit ribosomal RNA", at positions 427 to 891 of the family's 1478-position model. Lineage: Archaea; Thermoproteati; Nitrososphaerota. The record is from RNAcentral.
ACUAGUGAAUAAGGGGUGGGCAAGUUCUGGUGUCAGCCGCCGCGGUAAAACCAGCACCUCAAGUGGUCAGGAGGAUUAUUGGGCCUAAAGCAUCCGUAGCCGGCUCUUCAAGUUUUCGGUUAAAUCUGUACGCUUAACGUAUAGGCUGCCAAAAAUACUGUAGAGCUAGGGAGUGGGAGAGGUAGACGGUACUCGGUAGGAAGGGGUAAAAUCUUUUGAUCUAUUGAUGACCACCUGUGGCGAAGGCUGUCUACCAGAACAUGUUCGACGGUGAGGGAUGAAAGCUGGGGGAGCAAACCUGAUUAGAUACCCGGGUAGUCCCAGCUGUAAACGACGCAGACUCGAUGAUGUAUUAGCAUAUAGCUGAUACAGUGUCGCAGGGAAGCCGUUAAGUCUGCCGCCUGGGAAGUACGUACGCAAGUAUGAAACUUAAAGGAAUUGGCGGGGGAGCACCACAAGGGGUGA